CGGGAUAAUCUCCCGCGCUUUAACACAGCCAAAGAAGGUUCCAAGCCCUUUAGUGAAAUUGUGGAGGAAAGC
Molecule: non-coding RNA, 72 nt
Filed under: unclassified sequences
Source: RNAcentral